This is a long non-coding RNA of Papaver somniferum (opium poppy), 589 nucleotides long. RefSeq lists it as uncharacterized. NCBI's taxonomy places the organism in Eukaryota, Viridiplantae, Streptophyta, Magnoliopsida, Ranunculales, Papaveraceae. The record is from RefSeq and is a predicted model, not a curated record. The transcript is spliced from 2 exons.
AUUGUCGGCAUCGAGAAAUUGUUCGAUAACGAUUGUGAUCUUUCCAGUCGACCUCCAUUUUGUUCUUCUGGAUUUGGUGGAGAUUUGUGAAAUCCUGGCGGAGCUUCUGGUUUUGGAAACUGUGAUAAUGGCCCGAUUCCAUUCUGUUGGUGUAUCAAACAGACAGGAUUUGGAAGAGUCAAAAGCAGAGGAGAAAAGAGGCUCCGAAAUGAAGACGACAAAUGUUUGAGCGAAGAAAACAAUGGACGGGGAAGGAUGGGGAGAGAGACAGAAAUGGCGGAGAAAUCGGGAGGAUUUAAGGGAAGAUUUGAACAUUUGAAAAUAGAAAGGAAAGAAGUGGUCAAAACCUCGUAGUGGAAUCGCUCUAACUCUUCAAAGUCCCGGACCCUCCUAACUCCUUGGACACGUUCUCUUUACUGUGACCAAAUUAUGAAUCACCAAUCGUCCACUGCAUCUUGGCAUUUUCAUCACUUUCACCCGAUAUGUGAUAUGUGAUCGAUAAUUUAGUUCGGACGAGUUUUGAACUCAUGUAAUUGAUAUCGUCACCUAAUGAUUUUCCUCCGAUAUCGGGCACUUUCAUUCGAUUCUA